Molecule: long non-coding RNA, 213 nt
Filed under: Mytilus galloprovincialis (Mediterranean mussel)
Lineage: Eukaryota; Metazoa; Mollusca; Bivalvia; Mytilida; Mytilidae
Source: RNAcentral
GGGAGUGAUCGGAUCUAUAACUGUUGAGAAUGCGUAUAUCAUAAACAUGUUGAUUAAGGCCUUGCGAUAUUAAAAAGAAAUCCAAUCUUGCUUGUUUAAUGGGAUUAUUUUUUUUCUCCAUGUAAAUUUUUUUAGUUCAGGGUACAAUUCCCUAUAGGGAUCUGUUAAAUCAUAAUUUUCUAUUAUAUUUAAAACUUUCUCUUUGGCUUUUGG